RNAcentral lists this non-coding RNA (950 nucleotides) under Harriotta raleighana (Pacific longnose chimaera). RNAcentral's name for it is "12S ribosomal RNA". It matches the Rfam family "Bacterial small subunit ribosomal RNA". The record is from RNAcentral. Lineage: Eukaryota; Metazoa; Chordata; Chondrichthyes; Chimaeriformes; Rhinochimaeridae.
CACAAGGUUUGGUCCUAGCCUCAGUAUUAUUUUUAACAAAACUUACACAUGCAAGUUUCCGCAUCCCAGUGAGAUUGCCCCUACUCGUCCUUUAAGAAAACAGGGAGCAGGUAUCAGGCACACACUCGUAGCCCAAAACACCUUGCUCAGCCACGCCCCCAAGGGAAUUCAGCAGUGAUUAAUAUUAGCAAAUAAACGAAAGUUUGACCUAGUUACAGUUGCACAGAGUCGGCCAAUCUCGUGCCAGCCGCCGCGGUUAUACGAGCGACUCGAAUUAAUAAAAAAACGGCGUAAAGAGUGCAUAAGAAUAGCCCUUCCCCCAUUAAAACUGAAGUGGUGCCUAACUGUUAUACGUACUCGCACCAAUGAAAAACAAUUACGAAAGUAAUUUUAUAAAAAAUAGACCUCUUAAAACACGAUAGCUAAAGAACAAACUGGGAUUAGAUACCCCACUAUGUUUGGCCCUAAACCUAGGUAUUUACUUACCCAAAUACCCGCCAGAGAACUACAAGCGCCAGCUUGAAACCCAAAGGACUUGGCGGUGCCUUAGACCCCCCUAGAGGAGCCUGUUCUAGAACCGAUAAUCCCCGUUCAACCUCACCAUCUCUUGCUAUUACAGCCUAUAUACCGCCGUCGCCAGCUUGCCCUAUGAAGGACAAACAGCAAGCAAAAAGAAUUGACCUCCAAAACGUCAGGUCGAGGUGUAGCUUAUGAGAUGGGAAGAAAUGAGCUACAUUUUCUACCAAGAUCAACAGAUAAACAAUGAAAUCAAAAUUGAAGUUGGAUUUAGCAGUAAGAGAUAAAUAGUAUAUUAAUCUGAAAAUGGCUCUAAGGCGCGCACACACCGCCCGUCACUCUCCUCAAUUGAACCUUAAAAUAUAUAAUGACUCUUCUAAACAAGAGGAGGCAAGUCGUAACAUGGUAAGUGUACUGGAAAGUGCACUUGGAAU